AGGGUUUGAUCAUGGCUCAGAACGAACGCUGGCGGCAGGCCUAACACAUGCAAGUCGAACGAGAAGCCAGGCUUCGGCCUGGUGGAAAGUGGCAGACGGGUGAGGAACACGUGGGAAUCUGCCCAGUGGUACGGAAUAACUUCGGGAAACCGGAGCUAAUGCCGUAUACGCCCUUCGGGGGAAAGAUUUAUCGCCAUUGGAUGAGCCCGCGUCGGAUUAGCUUGUUGGUAGGGUAACGGCCUACCAAGGCGACGAUCCGUAGCUGGUCUGAGAGGAUGAUCAGCCACACUGGGACUGAGACACGGCCCAGACUCCUACGGGAGGCAGCAGUGGGGAAUAUUGCACAAUGGGCGCAAGCCUGAUGCAGCCAUGCCGCGUGAGUGAAGAAGGCCUUAGGGUUGUAAAACUCUUUCACCGGUGAAGAUAAUGACGGUAGCCGGAGAAGAAGCCCCGGCUAACUCCGUGCCAGCAGCCGCGGUAAUACGGAGGGGGCUAGCGUUGUUCGGAAUUACUGGGCGUAAAGCGCACGUAGGCGGAUUGGUAAGUUGGGGGUGAAAUCCCAAGGCUCAACCUUGGAACUGCCCUCGAAACUGCCAGUCUUGAGUCCGGAAGAGGUGAGUGGAAUUCCUAGUGUAGAGGUGAAAUUCGUAGAUAUUAGGAAGAACACCAGUGGCGAACGGGGCUCACUGGUCCGGUACUGACGCUGAGGUGCGAAAGCGUGGGGGAGCAAACAGGAUUAGAUACCCUGGUAGUCCACGCCGUAAACGAUGGGUGCUAGCCGUCGGGCGGCAUGCCGUUCGGUGGUGCAGCUAACGCAUUAAGCACCCCGCCUGGGGGAUACGGCGCAGGUAAACUCAAGGAUGACGGGGCCGCACAAGCGGUGGGAGCAUGUGGUUUAUCGAGGCACGCGAAGAACUA
RNAcentral lists this ribosomal RNA (918 nucleotides) under uncultured bacterium. RNAcentral's name for it is "bacterial SSU rRNA". It matches the Rfam family "Bacterial small subunit ribosomal RNA", at positions 8 to 971 of the family's 1533-position model. The record is from RNAcentral.